AGUGAACGCUGGCGGUAGGCCUAACACAUGCAAGUCGAACGGCAGCACAGUAAGAGCUUGCUCUUACGGGUGGCGAGUGGCGGACGGGUGAGGAAUACAUCGGAAUCUACUUUUUCGUGGGGGAUAACGUAGGGAAACUUACGCUAAUACCGCAUACGACCUACGGGUGAAAGCAGGGGAUCUUCGGACCUUGCGCGAUUGAAUGAGCCGAUGUCGGAUUAGCUAGUUGGGGGGGUAAAGGCCCACCAAGGCGACGAUCCGUAGCUGGUCUGAGAGGAUGAUCAGCCACACUGGAACUGAGACACGGUCCAGACUCCUACGAGAGGCAGCAGUGGGGAAUAUUGGACAAUGGGCGCAAGCCUGAUCCAGCCAUACCGCGUGGGUGAAGAAGGCCUUCGGGUUGUAAAGCCCUUUUGUUGGGAAAGAAAAGCAGCAGGUUAAUACCCCGCUGUUCUGACGGUACCCAAAGAAUAAGCACCGGCUAACUUCGUG
RNAcentral lists this ribosomal RNA (492 nucleotides) under uncultured bacterium. Its description in RNAcentral is "partial 16S ribosomal RNA". It matches the Rfam family "Bacterial small subunit ribosomal RNA", at positions 29 to 507 of the family's 1533-position model. The record is from RNAcentral.